RNAcentral lists this ribosomal RNA (497 nucleotides) under uncultured bacterium. RNAcentral's name for it is "partial 16S ribosomal RNA". It matches the Rfam family "Bacterial small subunit ribosomal RNA", at positions 28 to 507 of the family's 1533-position model. The record is from RNAcentral.
GACGAACGCUGGCGGCGUGCCUAAUACAUGCAAGUAGAACGCUGAAGCGAGGAGCUUGCUCUUCUUGGAUGAGUUGCGAACGGGUGAGUAACGCGUAGGUAACCUGCCUGGUAGCGGGGGAUAACUAUUGGAAACGAUAGCUAAUACCGCAUAAAAUUGAUUAUUGCAUGAUAAUUAAUUGAAAGAUGCAACUGCAUCACUACCAGAUGGACCUGCGUUGUAUUAGCUAGUUGGUGAGGUAACGGCUCACCAAGGCGACGAUACAUAGCCGACCUGAGAGGGUGAUCGGCCACACUGGGACUGAGACACGGCCCAGACUCCUACGGGAGGCAGCAGUAGGGAAUCUUCGGCAAUGGGGGGAACCCUGACCGAGCAACGCCGCGUGAGUGAAGAAGGUUUUCGGAUCGUAAAGCUCUGUUGUAAGAGAAGAACGGGUGUGAGAGUGGAAAGUUCACACUGUGACGGUAGCUUACCAGAAAGGGACGGCUAACUACGUG